UUUUGAUUGGUUGGCUUUCAUGACAUGGCGGAUGAAGGGUGGAUACUCACUUGCUCCAUUAUAGUUGUAGAUCGCGGAUAGUGUUUGGAUAACACAAUGAUGAUUGCUGUCCAUACACAAACUAUUUCUCAUAUUUCUUUUCCUCCUAUUUCUCUACCUAGCUAAUAAUAGGGGUGUUCAGCGGAUGAACCGAACCGCCCAAACCGCCUAAACCGUCCGAACCAAUCCGCUUGCAAACAAAGCUGAAGCAUUCUACGGAUGGAUGCGGAUCUAAUAAUAGUUAAUCUGGCAGAUCCGGUUCGGAUCCGGUUAAAACCGAACCGACCACCUGUUAAAAAAAAAGGCUGAAUUGCACCGUUCGCACUUCGCAUGCAGCCCCGCACGCAGUCAGAUAUUCUAACCCUAAUAGUAAACCUCCACUAACUUCUCUGCUCUGCCUUCUCUCCUCACAAUGCUCUCACAACCUUCUCUCAAGUCUCCCUCUAUGCCUCCCUCUGACCAUCUCCUCCUUCUCCGGUGAUGACCCACACACCUCCACCUCUCUCUCUCUCCAUCUCGAAGACUCGACUAUAAACUGACUAAGGAAAGCAAUGAAGGAUCGUAGAAUUUGCUUAACCCCCGAUACAUGGACUUUGAUUUAGAAUUGUGUUAUAUGUGUCUUACUGCUCACUUUGUUGAUGAUGAUUGGAAGCUACAAAAGAGGAUCAUAAAUUUUUGCUUAGUUGAGGAUCACAAAGGGGAAACUGUAGGAAGAAAACUUGAAACGUGUUUGCUUGAAUGGAAGAUUGAUAGCAUUUUUACCCUCACGGUUGAUAAUGCUAGUUCGAAUGGUCUUACCAUUAAGUUCUUGAAGGAAGCAACAAAAGAUUGGAAGGGGACAAUUUUGGAGCACGAUUAUUUGCAUGUUCAUUGUUGUGCACAUAUUCUUAAUAUAAUUGUUGGGAUGGUUUGAAGGUAAUGGAUUCAUCCAUUGCCAAUAUUCGCCAUGCUGUGAGGUAUGUGAGGUCUAGUCCAAAUAGACAUGAAACAUUUUAAAAUUUUGUGGAGAAAUGCAAGAUUGAGUCCAAGCGUGACUUGUGCCUAGAUGUGGCAACAAGGUGGAACUCCACAUAUAAGAUGUUGGACCAUGCUGAGAAGUUUGAGAAGGUAUUUGACCGAAUGGGGAAAGAAGAUGAGCAAUUUAAAGCUUACUUCGCAGAUUGUAAAGUUGGUGGAGGGAGGAACAUUCCGACAAAGGAUGAUUGGGAUAAAUGUAUAGUGUUCUUGCAAUUUUUUGAGUUUAUUUUACAAGGCAACUUUGAAGUUUUCAGGGCCCCUCUAUGUUACCUCAAUACUUUCUAUCGUGAGAUGCUUGUGAUUCAAACAAAAAUUAAGGAACACAUGGCGAUAACACUCCACUUUUGGCUUCCAUGGCAACAGAUAUGAAGGUGAAGUUUGACAAGUAUUGAGGUAUUGGGGAUAAAUUCAAUCUUCUUUUAUAUGUUGUCGUUGUGCUUGAUCCUCGGAAUAAGAAAAGGUUCUUGAAGUUUAGUUCUAUGUCCAUAUAUGGCAACGAUGUGGUGGACAUAAUGAUUGUGAAAGUGGAGGAUGCAUUAACUAAAUUGUUCAACUAUUAUAAAACCGUGUAUGAUUCGUUGAAUGUUGAAGUUCGGAUUGAAGAUGAAGAAAUGCCUAUGGUAGUUGAUGAUGAUGAUGAUCCUUAUGCUAUCAUUGCCUCCCAAUUUAACACUUGGAGGGUGACUUUUUUAAUAGUUCUAUGACGGAGUUGGAUAAGUACUUGACUGAUGUCGUUGAGAAGGUUCCAAAAGAUGAGGAAGGGAAAUUUGAUUUAUUGAAUUGGUGGAAGGUGAACUCUUAGAAGUAUAAAGUGUUGUCGCUAUUGGCUCCGGAUGUCUUGGCGAUGCCCGUUUCCACUGUUGCUUCUGAAUCGGCUUUUAGUAUAGGAGGUUGUAUACUUGAUCCAUUUUGAAGUUCAUUCAACCCCGAGACCAUAGAGAUGCUUGUGUGUACUCAAAAUUGGCUUCAAAGCAAUGUUCCUAUUUCUCUUCGGAAGGUUAUGGAUGAUGUUGAGCAAAUUGGACAAUCUUUCAUAGAAUCUAAAUCAAGUUCAACUUCGUGUCCUAGUCCAGCUCGAAGUUCGGGUAUAAUUGACGUGUAAUCGAAUGGUAAAUCACUUUUUA
Rhododendron vialii is the source of this 2180-nucleotide long non-coding RNA. RefSeq lists it as uncharacterized. The transcript is spliced from 3 exons. NCBI's taxonomy places the organism in Eukaryota, Viridiplantae, Streptophyta, Magnoliopsida, Ericales, Ericaceae. The record is from RefSeq and is a predicted model, not a curated record.